RNA transcript from Fragaria vesca subsp. vesca, 1751 nucleotides. It is a transcript of the gene named pentatricopeptide repeat-containing protein At5g42450, mitochondrial-like, with no coding region annotated. The record is from RefSeq and is a predicted model, not a curated record. NCBI's taxonomy places the organism in Eukaryota, Viridiplantae, Streptophyta, Magnoliopsida, Rosales, Rosaceae. The transcript has a single exon.
AUGAAAUACAUGUUUUGCAGAUACCCUCUCUCUCAAUUCAUACAAAGGACAGUUCACACUUCCGCUUGUACCCUUCCUGCUGAAACCCGGAAAGCUAAUGCCUAUCUUGUGAGGCAUGCAGAGACGUCAGACGCAUUCUUGAAUGCCCACCAAGUGUUCGACGAAACGCCUGACUUAAACGUGGUCUCGGCCACAACAAUAAUAGGCAGCUUUGCUCGGCAGCAUCAUCAUGAAGAAGCUGUGCACCUCUUUUCAAGAAUGCUUGUGUUGAAUAUUCGACCCAAUGAGUACACGUUUGGCACUGUCAUUCCCUCCUCGACCGCGCUUGGAGAUUUGAGUAUAGGUAAGCAACUUCAUGCAUUUGCAAAAAAGAUGGGGUUGCAUUCUAAUGUGUUUGUGGGGAGUGCAAUGUUGGACCUUUAUGCCAAGCUGAGCGUAAUCCAGGAUGCUCGGAGAGCUUUCGAAGAUACCCAGAAGCCGAAUGUUGUUUCCUACACGACAUUGAUAUGUGCUUACCUGAAAAAGGAGAUGCUUGAAGAUGCUCUUGAGCUUUUUAAAGUGAUGCCAGAGAGGAAUGUAGUUUCAUGGAAUGCUAUGAUUGGAGGGUAUAGCCAAACAGGCCACAAUGAAGAGGCUGUCAAUCUUUUCAGUGAGAUGCUUCGAAAUGGGUUGGUGCCGAGUCAAUCUACUUUUCCUUGUGCUAUAAUUGCAGCUGCUAAUAUAGCAGCGCUAGGAAUUGGGAGAAGCUUUCAUGCCUGUGCUGUCAAGGCUUUGGGUAAGUUCAAUGUGUUUAUUAGCAAUUCUCUAAUAAGUUUCUAUGCAAAAUGUGGGAGCAUGGAAGAUAGUCUCUUGGUUUUCGAUAGACUCAGGGGAAGAAACAUUGUUUCUUGGAAUGCUGUGAUUUGUGGGUACGCUCAAAAUGGUAAAGGAGAGGAAGCCAUAAGCUUUUUCGAAAAGAUGAGGGUCUCAGAAUGUAAACCCAACAGUGUUACACUUCUUGGGUUAUUGUGGGCGUGUAAUCAUGCUGGUCUUGUUGACAAGGGUUACUCCUAUUAUAACCAGGUGAGAACGGAGGAGCCCGGCAUUAGAGCCUGAGCAUUAUGCUUGUAUGGUUGAUCUACUCUCGCGCUCAGGGUGCUUCAGACAAGCCGAGGAAUUUAUUAGUGAUUUGACUUUUGAACCAGGCAUUGGUUUUUGGAAGGCAUUGCUUGGUGGCUGCCAAAUCCACUCAAAUUGGGGGAGUUUGCGGCAAGAAAAAUCCUGGCUUUGGAUCCUGGAGAUGUGUCAUCUUAUGUUAUGGUGUCUAAUGCACAUUCUGCAGCUGGAAGGUGGCAGAAUGUGUCAACAAUAAGGAGAGAAAUGAAAGACAAAGGGAUGAAGAGGAUUCCAGGUUGCAGUUGGAUAGAAAUCAGAAGCCAAGUUCAUGUAUUUACCACCGCGGAUAAGAAUCAUCACCAAAUGAAUGAAAUUUAUACUGUGUUAGAAAUUAUGUACAGAGCAUUUGAAGGAGAAUAAAUCAAAAGUUGAAAAGUGCGAUGAUGAUAUCUAAUUCUCUACUGCACCAACAUUUAGCUGGAGCUGGCCAACAGGCUAACAGUGCUUCUGUGCAAGGAACUUUACUACUUGAGGAAGCUUCAAAUACAUAAUCUGGGAAGGAAAUUAAUGCCUAACCAAACACAAGCUCUAGAGUAGAAUAUUACCUGAUAUGAAAUAGGUUUUUAUUUUUUCAUGUGUUAAAACCUGCUUUCAGG